CGAGAGAGUCGGGCGGCGGUGGCGCCGCCAACCCCGCCAGGUUCGAAAGAAAGCAACGGUAACGGUUGUUCGCCGGGUGUCCGACUCUCAAAAAG
This 95-nucleotide signal recognition particle RNA is filed under the name Bilophila wadsworthia. RNAcentral describes it as "signal recognition particle sRNA small type". It matches the Rfam family "Bacterial small signal recognition particle RNA". Rfam says of the family: The signal recognition particle (SRP) is a universally conserved ribonucleoprotein involved in the co-translational targeting of proteins to membranes. Archaeal SRP consists of a 7S RNA and homologues of the eukaryotic SRP19 and SRP54 proteins. In most bacteria, the SRP consists of a 4.5S RNA and the Ffh protein (a homologue of the eukaryotic SRP54 protein). RNAcentral also lists the same sequence under 2 other names. Lineage: Bacteria; Pseudomonadati; Thermodesulfobacteriota; Desulfovibrionia; Desulfovibrionales; Desulfovibrionaceae. The record is from RNAcentral.